GCGCAUGCAGGUGGUUUGUUAAGUCAGAUGUGAAAGCCCGGGGCUCAACCUCGGAAUUGCAUUUGAAACUGGCAAACUAGAGUACUGUAGAGGGGGGUAGAAUUUCAGGUGUAGCGGUGAAAUGCGUAGAGAUCUGAAGGAAUACCGGUGGCGAAGGCGGCCCCCCUGGACAGAUACUGACACUCAGAUGCGAAAGCGUGGGGAGCAAACAGGAUUAGAUACCCUGGUAG
RNAcentral lists this ribosomal RNA (230 nucleotides) under uncultured bacterium. RNAcentral describes it as "partial 16S ribosomal RNA". It matches the Rfam family "Bacterial small subunit ribosomal RNA", at positions 565 to 793 of the family's 1533-position model. The record is from RNAcentral.